CCCAGACUCCUACGGGAGGCAGCAGUGAGGAAUAUUGGUCAAUGGGCGAGAGCCUGAACCAGCCAAGUCGCGUGAGGGAAGACGGUCCUAUGGAUUGUAAACCUCUUUUGCCGGGGAGCAAAAAGCGGUACGUGUACCGCAUCGAGAGUACCCGAAGAAAAAGCAUCGGCUAACUCCGUGCCAGCAGCCGCGGUAAUACGGAGGAUGCGAGCGUUAUCCGGAUUUAUUGGGUUUAAAGGGUGCGUAGGCGGGCCGGAAAGUCAGGGGUAAAAGCCGGGGGCUCAACCCGGGCGAGCCGUUGAAACUGUCGUUCUUGAGUGAGCGAGAAGUAUGCGGAAUGCGUGGUGUAGCGGUGAAAUGCAUAGAUAUCACGCAGAACUCCGAUUGCGAAGGCAGCAUACCGGCGCUCAACUGACGCUCAUGCACGAAAGCGUGGGUAUCGAACAGGAUUAGAUACCCCAGUA
This 464-nucleotide ribosomal RNA is filed under the name uncultured bacterium. RNAcentral describes it as "bacterial SSU rRNA". It matches the Rfam family "Bacterial small subunit ribosomal RNA", at positions 330 to 792 of the family's 1533-position model. The record is from RNAcentral.